CUGGGCUCCAUGAGCAAGAGGCCGCAGGCUGCCUCUGAGAUCCAGCUCAGGGGCCGUCCAGGCUCCUGUGUCCCGCCUGGGAUGGAGGGGCCACUCAUCAAACCCUCUUCUCCUGGCUGCCACCCCCACUGGACGGAGACCACCACUACCUGGGUCUUGCUGUAGGUGGCAGCACUUCUCGCCCACCUGCCGUGGCCUGGCCCCAGGCCCACCCAGCACUGAGUCCCCGGCACCGUGGACAAGGGUGCUCACUGUGUCCGUGGCUGGCUGGAGGCUGCCCUGGGCCCUUUCUGUGACCCUCAGCCCUGGAGCUCAGGGUCCCCUCACACCUGGAGAUCCAUCCCCAGCUACCCCGUGCCAGCUGCUCCUUGCUUUUGGCGGUCACCCCCCUCCCCCAACACAGUCUCUGCAGUGUCUUCCGCCACCCUGUCCCCCAACACACACAGUCUCUGCGGUGUCCCCCAUCACCCUGUCCAGGCCGCCCCCUUUUUGGGUUCCUCCUGCCCCAUGCCUGAGGCAUGCCCCUUUCUGUGGUUUACAUGACGAAGGGCCUGGGGGGAGCUUCCGGGCUGAGCCACAUGGGAUUCUCCUGGUGGGCAGUGCUAGGCCUCAGCUGGGGCUCUGGUUGGCUGUGGCCUCCCCCAGGGACUGGCUGCACCCUGGGUCCCUGUGGACAGAGCCGUCUGGGUUGCAGAUGAGAGUUCUGCUCUUUUUGGGAAGGAGGCCUGGUCUGGUCCUGGCUUUAGUUUGCGGUGUGACCUUUAGCAGUUCACGCAGCCUCUCUGGGCCCCUGGUGGAAACAGGUCUCUGAGGUUCUUUUCAGCCUUGCUUAUGGCUCCAGGCCAUCCAGUGACACAGGGCAGGGGUCCUCACUGGGGGCAUGUGAGCCGCUGGCCCACCUGCUGGGGAGGCCAAGGGCAGGCCGGGUGGAGCCGUCCUCGCUGCGGGCGCACAGUUGCGUCCCCGCUCUGAGCCCGUGUCCUCAGCUGUUAAAUGGGCAGCAUAAGGCCCUCCUCACAGGAUUCUGGGGAUCAAGUGAGCUCUUCCUGUAAAUGACCAUGUAUAAACUGUCAAGUGCAAUAGAAAAUUUUGCGUGAGGAAAAUAAGGCCUAGUGGGGUAAGUGAUGUGUGGCACAUGACAGGUGAGAUCCUAGAGCUGCAGCGGGGACAGGCCACUCCCCACCUCCGCAUGCUGCUGUGAGCAGCCCUGGCUCGAGUCCAGGACCUUACCAGGUCCUCGUCAGACUCCCUUGCUCUUCCAGGGGUGCUCAGAGCCCGACCUGAAGAGCCCAAAGAGGCUGUCUUCCUACCCAGCUGGUCUCCCGCAGGCCUGAGGCUGGGGAUGCAGGCAGGAGGGAGGUGGCUACCCUGUCCCUCUCCCUAGCCGGCGGCUCCAUUCUGAGCAGUUCUCGCUGCCCAUUUGCUCUCAGGGGAAAGCUCACACCCCCCCAUCUUAGCCCGGGGCGGGGGGCAGUGAGUGGGCGCUGGUGAUGGGAUGGUAUGGCGCUCCUGAUGUGGCUGUCACCAGGAGGCUCUUUGGGAAGGAGGGUGCCCCGGUCAGGUGGUGCUCUCCUGGUCACCAGGGGUGUACAUGUGAAGUUGGGUGAACACCUGCUGGUCAUUGUACCCAGUGAUUCUUGCCCACGUGGACAGCUGGGCAGAGGCCCUUCUGGGUCUUGGCGUCUAAUGAAGAGCAGAGCAGCCCAAGGAGUGUGGGUCAAUUAUGAGUGGGAGCCAAGUCUGGGAACCCAUGUGCGUCAUGUUUGGGUCAGGUUGGCUUGGCCACCACUGAAAUAAGCAAUAAGUAUGGGCUCCUGGUACCUGUGGAUGUCCUGCAAACAGGUCCAGAGAACAGCCUUGAAGCCACCUUUCCCCUCAAGGGGACGGACCCUGUCCUUAAUGCUGCAGUGGCGUCCAGGGAUCAGUGGAAUGUUGCUUUGAGAACCCUCCUGCCUGUUACGGAGACAGCACAAAGCUGGUGCCCCCUGAGCCAACAUGGCACUGGGAUGGCUUUUCAGGACAGAACUCUGUCAGUGACAGUCACAUCUCAAAUUAAUAGCUGAUUUUAAAGGCCAGCAGUAGUGAUGCCAUAUGCCUGAGGACAGGUGGCAGUUGCAGAGCACCGUGGGCUGUAGAGAGUCAGAUGGGGCCUCCCACGGGGGAACCCUGGGGACACUGCAGCUCAGGGUGACUCCUAGCUCUGAAAGCCCCCAGUGGGGGUGCCCUUUCAGAUGCCCCCUCCCCAUUUCAAAGGCUCAGUCUCGAUGGUGAAGCUGGCCGCAGCACUGGCACUCAGCUUCAGUGUCCACUGUGACGGACGGUCUCCUUUCUCGCCUCAGCCAGGCAGCCGGGCCCAUCCUGGCCCAGAACAUGCUGAGCACGUUUUGUUGGGGGCACCUUCUUAUCCAAGUUACUAGCUACACACCAGUGUUUAAAGAGAAAAAAGUGACCUUUCAUUUUUUUUUCUUGAAACUUGAGGAAACAAGAUACAUACUACUGAUUUUUUUUUUCUUAAAGAAAACAAAACGCAUGACUGCAGAGCGGUGGAGGUGUUUACUUCUCAUACUGUGGGGGCGUUUGCGCUGCUUUUUGGAGAUGGACUGGAAUGUCUGCUUUCUGUCCUGGGCCUGGCAGCUAUGUCUAUUUUCUGUAGAACGUGCCCCCGUGAGACCUGGAGCCAUCCUCCUGCCCUGGCACGGUUUAGAGCUGGGAGCCUGUGACUCCCGGCCUGUUUCUACCUUCUAUCCAACCACUCUGAUGUGGGGAGACAAAAAGAAAUAGAACUUUUUGAUAGUGUGGUAAAAACACUGAUUUGAACUAUUUUAGUAAAAGGAGUAACAAGAUUGUGAUAGUGUAUACUUUGAGCUAGAUAAAUAAAGGCCUCUUUGUGCGCCUCCUG
This is a non-coding RNA of Saimiri boliviensis boliviensis (Bolivian squirrel monkey), 2899 nucleotides long. The record is from RefSeq and is a predicted model, not a curated record. Lineage: Eukaryota; Metazoa; Chordata; Mammalia; Primates; Cebidae.